GGUUGUAUCAGGGGAGGUGGAUCUACCAGUGAACGGCUGAGAUGAGAAGAUAACGGUUUGAUAAGUGAAGCUUGCUACACCGCGGAUCGAGCAUCCCACAGCUCGGAGGUACUCCCGCGUCGCUGUUCACUUUCAGACAAGCGCACUAUCUUCUUCCUUUCCUUUCUCUGCUUUUUGAGUGAGCUGGCUUAUAAAUGCCCCUCACACCAGCCCAUAGAGGCAUGUAAGAAUUGCAUGGGUACAAACCCUAGCCGCCUGUGGCGUGCUUUAUCCAUUUUCCUCAAGAUCCAGGCAAUAUAAAUCCUAUUCUACCUAUUCUCCGCCUCUGAAAUUGGUUGCCGGUGCGUUUUUAGCUCAAGUCAGUAGCUUGAUCCUGAGAAUUGGUAUCCAGAGCCACUCGAUUUUUCGGCUGGAGGGGCAUCAGGGAUGAAUGGAGGCAAGCUUCUAGCUGGAUUCAGAUCUAGAUCCAGCAGAAGGUAAGCAUCUCAAAUCCCACCACCCACCCUGUUUUUGAGAGCAGCGGCAUGACUGGCUAGGGAGAUUCGAUGGUUACGGUAGAUUUGCAAUUGGCAUCGUUAGAAUUGGACAUUAAGACCCUGCAGAACAGUAAAGAAGAGGAUAGAAUGGAGUUUCACGAAUUUAGAACGAUGGUUAACAAGAACUUUGUUACCAUGCAAGGAAAUUUUGAUAAGAUCCAGGAAAAUUUCAGAAAACUGCUGAUGGAUCAGGGGGCCGAAGAAGAAUAGCUUGAGCGUUCUGAGCAGGGUAGUGUAUAGAAGAAAGUUGAGGAGGUACAUUCACCUGUAGUUCCUGCAGGCAGACCCAAAUAGUUGGUUAAUUUUACACCACCUUCAGUUCAGGGCCAAGAGAAAGAGGCUCCAAUGAUAGUAGUGGGCACAGCUGUGUUGAGAGAUCACACUAGGAAGGAACUUAAUUUAGAUGGUACAACAAAAGCACCAUAUAGGCAUGCUAAUUUUACCAGCAACAAAAAUGAUGGACAACAAAUAGUUGGGCAUCAACAAUACCUGCAGUUGCAACAAGUGGAUACAGGGGUUAUCGAAGAAUGGCCUGAUGCGCAGAGGGACAGGCAAUAUUCACCAUCUGACAGUAGAAGACCUAUUCUCACAGUGAAACCUGCAAAAUUGAACAUUUCUGAAUUUGAAGGAGUGGACCCUGAAGCUUGGAUUCAGAAUUUGGACCAAUACUUUGCUGCUGCUAGGACUCCUAUUGAUCAUCGGAUAGAGUUGGUUGUGUCUUACUUAAAAGGGCCAGCUGUGCAGUGGUGGAGAGGAACAGGGUAUGCUCCUAACAAUGUACCCUAGCACAAGUUUUGUUCUUACCUGUCUGACAGAUUUGUAGUGGAAUCUGCUUGUGAUAUUGUCAGUUCACAGCAACCAGUACAAGUGAUACCAGUUAAUAAUUAUGUGCCACAGCCUAGGAGACAGGUCACCUUUGAGCAACCAAAGAAUGAGGGCAAUCCUGCAUCACAAAAUAGGAAUGCAGUAAUCCAACUGGCCAAGCAGAAUCAAGUUUGCUACAAAUGUAGAGAGCCUUGGGUUCCAGGGCACAGGCAGGUGUGCAAAAUGAGUCAGAGGGCUCAGAUUCAGGCAUUGCAAGAGGAGGAAGUGCAUGAGACCAUAUAUGUCACUGACUUUGCUGAUCCGGAGCUUGAUAACUUGGAACAGAACCAAGUUGAGACUGUUUUGCAAUUAUCUAUGCAUGCAGCUAUGGGAAUUGGAGCUAUGAGGAAUACUUUUGUCCUAACCAUUAAGGUGGGAAAUACUUCUGCUAUUGCUUUAGUAGACAGUGGCAGCACUUCUACAUUUGUAUCUCUAGAGAUGGCAGCUAAAUUGCAAGUGAAAGCCAAACCUACCCAAAGAGUGAAAGUGGAUGUUGUUAGUGGUGAAGUGGUGUGGAGUGAGUUCAUGGUGCAGGAUUGUAAGUAUGAGAUUCAAGGUAAACAGUUUACUGAUUGUUUCAGAGAUCUCUAGUUGAAGGGCUAUGAAAAAAUACUUUGAGUGGAUCGGUUGAAAAACUAUAGUCCAGUGCACAUGGAUUUCAUCAAAAUGGAAAUGAAGGUGUCCGGUGUUGAUGGCCAGAUAAUUACUUUUGCUGAUGAGACAGUGCCAAAGAUACAGCCUGAUGAAGCUAAAGAUUUCACUGACAAGUUAAUGGAGCAAGAAGUAUGUGGGUUUGUGUUGUUUACUGCCUGUGCUGUGGAAGUAGUAGGCACACCUAAAGUAUUGCUUGAUGAAAUGCAGACCAUGUUGCAAGAUUAUGAACAGUUGUUUCAAGAACCUACAGAAUUGCCUCCAAGCAGGCCUUGUGACCACAGAAUUCCUUUGAUGGAAGGGGCCAAAGUGGUGAACCAAAGACCUUACAGAAUGCCACAUCAUCAAAAGGAGAUACUGGAAAAGAUAAUCAAAGAACUAUUGAAAUCUGGGGUGAUCAGGCCUAGCACUAGUCCAUUUUCUUGUCCUGUGUUGUUGGUGAAAAACAAAGAUGGGUCCUGGAGGUUGUGCACUGACUACAGAAAAUUGAAUGCUAUAACAAUCAAAAAUAAAUACCCAAUUCCUAUCAUUGAGGAUUUGUUGGACCAGUUGAAAGGGGCUAAAUAUUUUCCCAAAAUUGAUCUCAGGAAUGGGUAUCACCAGAUCAGGAUGGCAGAAGAAGACAUACAUAAAACAGCUUUUCUGACGCAUAUGGGGUUAUAUGAAUACUUAGUUAUGUCCUCUGGGCUAACUAAUGGACCUCCAAGUUUCCAAGAUCUAAUGAACUUCUUAUUUCGAAUCCUUAAGUUUGUGGUGACCUUCUUUGAUGACAUACUGGUUUUCAGCACUUCCUUGGUUGAGCAUAAGAGUCAUCUUACUUAGGUGUUUGAUAUCUUGCAAAAGAAUAAAUUAUAUGCAAGAUUGGAAAAAUGCUCUUUUGGUCAGACUGAGGUGGAGUACUUGGGCCACAUAAUUAAUCAGGAGGGGGUGGCUACUGAUCCUUCUAAAAUUAAAGCAAUUCAAGAAUGGCCUGGUCCUACCAAUAUUACUGAAUUAAGGAGUUUUCUAGGACUAAGUGGAUACUACAGAAGGUUCAUUCAAGGUUAUGGAAUCAUAUGUAGACCACUGUUUGAUUGCCUGAAAAAGGAUGCUUUCCAAUGGGGGGCUGAUCAAGACAGGGCAUUUGCUGCAAUUAAAGAGAAACUGACUCAUUCCCAGUACUAAUCCUACCCGACUUCUCCAAGACUUUUGUUCUAGAAGAAGAUGUUUGUGGUUAUGGUCUAGGAGCUGUCCUGAUGAAGGAGGGCAGGCCCAUUUCUUUUCUAAGAAAGACUAUAGGACCUAGAGCUGCUUCUAUGUCCACCUAUGAUAAGGAAGCUAUGGCAAUUAUUGAGGCUGUCAAGAAGUGGAUGCACUAUUUCCUGGCCACUACACUUGUCAUCAGAACAGAUCAGGAGAGCCUCAAAUAUAUUCAGGAACAGAAACUGACUGAAGGGAUUCAACAUAAGCUAUUGCUCAAGUUACUGGGAUACAACUUCACCAUUGAGUAUAAGAAGGGCAAGGAGAACAAGGCAGCUGAUGCCUUAUCCAGAGUUAAACCCUUAGCUUCCAUGUUGGUUCCUAGUAGCACUACUCCUACCUAGAUAGUGGAAGUGGCUAAGAGCUACAGUCAAGAUGAGAGGGUGAAAGAGUGGAUUACUCAGAGUUUUGUGGAGAAGAGCCCUGCUAAUGCAUACUCUUAUAAGAAUGGUAUCCUCGGGUUCAAAAAUAGAGUAGUAGUGGGGAGUACAACUACUUUAAGGCAGGAGUUGUUGAAAACAUUCCACAGCUCAGAAUUAGGAGGUCACUCUGGAGAAAGAGCUACUUAUCACAGAGUAAAGUUGGUGUUCCAUUGGCCAGGGUUGAAGCAAGAUGUUACUGCAUCUGUGAAAGCAUGCCAUGUGUGCCAGAUUAAUAAAGCAGAGCAUUGCCCUUAUCCAGGAAUGUUAGAGCCCCUACCUGUACCUGAUUUUGCAUGGGCACAUGUGAGCAUGGACUUUGUGGAGGGACUACCCCUGUCCGAAAACAAGGAUCUCAUUUUGGUUGUGGUGGACAGAUAUACAAAUUAUGCCCAUUUCAUAGCAAUGAAGCAUCCUAUUUCAGUAGAAUCUGUGGCUAGAGUUUUUUCUAAAACAGUGUUCAAACUACAUGGCAUGCCAGUGGUGAUUGUUACUGAUAGGGACAGGUUGUUCACUAGCAACCUGUGGCAGCAAUUAUUCAAGUCUCAGAAACUCAAAUUACACAUGAGCACCAGCUAUCAUCCACAAUCUGAUGGGCAGACUGGAAGAGUAAAUCAGUGUCUGGAAAACUAUUUGAGGUGCAUGUGUUUUCAACAGCCAAAGAAGUGGCAUGGUUGGCUAGCAUUAGCUGAGUGGUGGUACAAUACAAGUUUCCACACUUCACUGCAAAUGACACCAUUAGCUGAGUCUGCCUUACCUGACACUAUAUCUGUUGAUUCAGAGAAUUUACUACAGAACAGAGAGCUAGCUUUGGAUGUAAUCAAACAAAAUUUGAUCAAGUCCCAAGCAAGAAUGAAAUGGCUUGCUAACAAGAAGAGGAAAGAAAGAGAAUUUGAGAUUGGUGACAUGGUUUAUUUGAAACUACAACCUUAUAGGCACACAUCUCUGAGCAUGCAUAGGAAUUUAAAACUGCAUUCCAAGUUUUAUGGACCCUUCAGAAUUUUGCAGAAGGUUGGGUUCCAUGCAUACAAGCUGUUGUUGCCUGAGGGUUGUAAACUACAUCCCACAUUUCAUGUGAGCCAGUUAAGGAAGCAUGUGAGACCAGCAGUAGUCCCUUCAAAGGAUCUGCCCCUAUUUGGUCCUGAUGGUCUGAUCAAGAUAGAGCCUGAAACUCUGUUGGAGAGGAAGCUGGUUCCAAGGGUCUAGGGUGACACCAGUAUUCCUGUGGUUAGAUGGUUGAUCAAAUGGGUUAACAUGCCAGUGGAGGAAGCCACUUGGGAGGAUGCAUCUUUUAUCCAGAAGGUUUUCCCUUCAUUUGCAGCUCAGGGCCAAGCUGCAGAUUAAUAGGGGGAAUUGUCAGGAUCCAUCCCCUGUUCCUGCGUGCCGGUUGUAUCAGGGGAGGUGGAUCUAGUAGUGAACGGCUGAUAUGAGAAGAUAACGGUUCGAUAAGUGAAGCCAGCUACACCGCUGAUCGAGCAUCCCACGGCUCAGAGCUACUCCCGCGUCGCUGUUCACUUUCAGACAAGCGCACUAUCUUCUUCCUUUCCUUUAUCUGCUUUUUGAGUGAGCUGGCUUAUAAAUGCCCCUCACACCAGCCCAUAGAGGCAUGUAAUAAUUGUGUGGGUACAAACCCUAGCCGCCUGUGGCGUGCUUUAUCCAUUUUCCUCAAGAUCCAGGCAAUAGAAACCCUAUUCUACCUAUUCUCCGCCUCUGAAAUUGGUUGCCGGUGCGUUUUUAG
RNAcentral lists this long non-coding RNA (5447 nucleotides) under Hordeum vulgare. RNAcentral's name for it is "long non-coding RNA (HVUL_LNC018835)". The record is from RNAcentral. Lineage: Eukaryota; Viridiplantae; Streptophyta; Magnoliopsida; Poales; Poaceae.